UGUGGCCAGGGAGCCGCAGGCAAGGGACUAAGGGGAGGGGGGCUCAGUGCCAGCUGCUUAAAAAUGCCCCUGUGGCAGCGAGGGGCACCAGAGGCUGGGUCUAAUUAGUUGAGAAGCAGUGACACCCCCAACCACUCCCCAAACAGGCUGGCUCCCGUCUCCAGGCCCCAAGGAGCCACACCUGGACCAGACCCCAGGAAAGGCAAGGGCACUAGCUGGUGGGAGCCACCCCGCCAUGCUGAUGUCAGAGAAGCAAGAACUCUGGAGAAGCAGCCUCCUGGGACCAGAGGAGGGCCAGCAGCAGGCAGCCCGGAGACAGAACUCUCACCCACGCCUCUCCAAGCCUCCCGACAGAAGACAGAGGUCCCCCACAGCCAGAGACAUUUCCUGAAGACAUGGGGAACACAGAGGCAGAAACAGCCCAUCCACCCAGGAGCUGUCCCCCACACUGCCGGGAGCCGGCACCCAGAGCCGCCAGGUAAAACUGAGGCCACCUGGUUCAACAUCGCCUUUCAUAGAAGGGGAAGCAGCCACAGAAAGAAGGGCCUGGUAAGAAGUGGAACCUGGGACCCCCAAGCGGUGUCUCUCAUCCUGACUGGGGAUCCAGAGUAGGAGGGAGCCUUUGGUGGGACACAAAGGAACAGAACGAGGCACCAACAGCAAGGGGCAAGCAGAUUCAAGGGCCACAGAGGAGAUGGAGGCAAACACCUUCCCCUGGUCAGAGGCUGUGCCUCAGCCCUUCUCCCUGCAUCAGUUUCUCCUUCAGAAGCAUGGGACUACCUCCCAUCUAGUUCUCGUUUCUAAACCCAGGGGAGAUGCUAUCUUUGCUGCAAUAAUCUUAGCCUACAUCUUGGAAUGGAAAUGGCCUUGGUGGAAAUGGUCUUCAACUCCUCUGGUCCAAGCUCAGGCCCUGUGACCCUGGAACAAUCCCCUUCCUGGUCCUCCAUGUAGGAGCAAUAACAUUCCCUUGCCAGCGGCACCAGCCAUUCUGAUGAUUAAAUGGUAUCGGACUCUGUUUUCCAAACUCAGUCAUUCAGAUGCCCCCUAUUUUAUUUCUUCCAUGUCUGCAAAUGAUUAUAAUAUUUUUAAAUGUAAGAUGAGUCCUUUUUAUUACACAUAGAAAUAGCUACUGUAAAUAGCAAACUCUAACACUGUGCCUAAUUAGGAAAUAAAGGUAACCAUAAAUACAGUAAAAA
This 1196-nucleotide long non-coding RNA is filed under the name Pan troglodytes (chimpanzee). RNAcentral's name for it is "lincRNA". Lineage: Eukaryota; Metazoa; Chordata; Mammalia; Primates; Hominidae. The record is from RNAcentral.